Molecule: transfer RNA, 72 nt
Filed under: Dictyocaulus viviparus (bovine lungworm)
Lineage: Eukaryota; Metazoa; Nematoda; Chromadorea; Rhabditida; Metastrongylidae
Rfam family: tRNA
About the family: Transfer RNA (tRNA) molecules are approximately 80 nucleotides in length. Their secondary structure includes four short double-helical elements and three loops (D, anti-codon, and T loops).
Source: Rfam by way of RNAcentral
GCCUCGGUGGUGUAAUAGAAAACACGGCAGACCGGUUAUCUGUAAGUGCGGGUUCGAGUCCCGCCUGAGGUU